RNAcentral lists this long non-coding RNA (1657 nucleotides) under Gallus gallus (chicken). Its description in RNAcentral is "long non-coding RNA NONGGAT001080". The record is from RNAcentral. Lineage: Eukaryota; Metazoa; Chordata; Aves; Galliformes; Phasianidae.
GCCCCCGUCUCCCGUAGCGACCGCGACAGCUGGCGGCCCGGGGAGGCGGGGAGAUUUGUGCGGAGAAAGCCGUGGUUUACAGGAGGCCGUACCGUCAUUCCGAGGCGUUUCCUCCCGGGUUUCACGGCCCAGAAUGUCCCGAGGUGGAAGGGACCCACAAGGAUCACCGACUCCAACCCCUGGACCCACACAGGACCACCGAAAAUUCAAACCUUGUGUCUUCUAGCAAUGCCCAAACGCUCCUUGAACUCCAGCACUCUGCCGUACCCACUGCCCUGGGCAGCCUGUUCCAUGCCCACCGCCCUCUGGUCUGGUGAGGAGCCUUUCCCUAACUCCCAACCUGUCCGUCCCCAGACAGCUCCAUACCACAGAGACGAGAAAGUUCAUGAGACAAAGAGAGGGAGAAAUCUUACCAACUGCCAUCGUGAUCAAAGUAAACUUGACUGAGGGAAAACUUUAGAGCCCUUUCAUGUAAAAUAGAAGAUGUGUCUCCUGCUGUAGGAGCAGAAGAUAAGAGGAGAUGCUCUGGAAAAGCAGCAGGGAAGUGUUGCCUGAGCUCAGGGUGCCCAGGCCAGCAGAAAGGAGGAAGCAGACCCACAGGCCAGAAGUGGCUGCUAACACAGGGGGUGACAGAUGCUCUUUUGGUGGUAGCUGUACCGCCAAACCUUGUGCUCAGCAGGCUUGAGGCCUGCCCUGAGCUUUGGGUGCUACAGCCAUCUGCGUGCACCAGCGAUACUGACAGCACCACAAGUCCGUGCCAUCUUCUGCUUAGAAGAGAAGUUGGAUGGAGGGUCCUUCUUUACAAGGAGCUACGUGGAGAAGACAAGGAGCAGUGGGUACCAGUUGCACUGAGAGAGGUUUCUCCUAAAUCCAAUAUUGAUAGUGAUUUUUUUUUUUUUUUUUUUUUUUACAGUGAGAACUAUCAGACUUCCUCCAGAUGUGGCAGAGUCCCCAUGACUGUAGUUUUUUGAGGUGUGAUUGGACAGGGUGCUUGACAAUCACAUCUAGGUUUCCUAUUCCCACAAAAAGUUGGGCCUGGCAAUCUUUUGUGAUCCAUUGCAACCUGAAUUGUACCACUAUUCUGUGAGGUUAUCCUUUUUAGUGCCUAAGUAGCUUUUUAAUUGCAGGGCAGAGGUUCUAUUUGUGUAGGGAGGGAUGGCUGAAGCCUGGCGUACACACUGUCCUCAUAACUUGGAGGUGUGACAGACUACCAAAAGCAAUUGGUCAGAGGUAGCAAUGUGUUAAUUUGUUGUUGCAUAAUUCAUCAAAAUUUGUUUAUCUGAAGUCUUAUUUUAUGUUGUUGUACAGCCUAUUGAUGUUCUUCCAGGUCCAAGCAGUUAAUUUUACAGGGUGGCUUUAUCUAUGGUGCCAGCCUGCCACGCACAUUGUCUUUGUGGGUGAGAACAGUGGCUGGUUGAUGUUCCCAAGGAGACUGGUGAAAAGUGAGGUCUCCAACAGAAAUGGACAAGACAUCACUUAUUUGCAACCAUGGUGAAACCCUGGCAAAAUAUACUCAAAGGCUAUGACUGUGCUGGACUCUUCCUACACUUACUUUAGGGAAUUACACAGGAUCUGAAUCCCUGAACAAUCCCCACAUGCUGUAAGGGAUCAGGUCAACAUUCAUAGACCUUCAGCAGCAUCAUUUUAAUAUUCAAGC